AGAGUUUGAUCAUGGCUCAGAUUGAACGCUGGCGGCAGGCUUAACACAUGCAAGUCGAACGGUAACAGAACUAGCUUGCUAGUUGCUGACGAGUGGCGGACGGGUGAGUAACGCGUAGGAAUCUACCGAAUAGUGGGGGACAACAGUUGGAAACGGCUGCUAAUACCGCAUACGCCCUACGGGGGAAAGGAGGGGAUCUUCGGACCUUUCGCUAUUUGAUGAGCCUGCGUGAGAUUAGUUAGUUGGUGGGGUAAUGGCUCACCAAGGCGACGAUCUCUAGCUGGUCUGAGAGGAUGAUCAGCCACACUGGGACUGAGACACGGCCCAGACUCCUACGGNAGNCANCAGUGGGGAAUAUUGCACAAUGGGGGAAACCCUGAUGCAGCCAUGCCGCGUGUGUGAAGAAGNCCUUCGGGUUGUAAAGCACUUUCAGU
This 434-nucleotide ribosomal RNA is filed under the name uncultured bacterium. RNAcentral describes it as "bacterial SSU rRNA". It matches the Rfam family "Bacterial small subunit ribosomal RNA", at positions 8 to 440 of the family's 1533-position model. The record is from RNAcentral.